Molecule: ribosomal RNA, 585 nt
Filed under: uncultured bacterium
Lineage: Bacteria
Description: partial 16S ribosomal RNA
Rfam family: Bacterial small subunit ribosomal RNA
Source: RNAcentral
UGGGGAAUUUUGGACAAUGGGCGAAAGCCUGAUCCAGCAAUGCCGCGUGUGUGAAGAAGGCCUUCGGGUUGUAAAGCACUUUUGUCCGGAAAGAAAUCCUUGGCUCUAAUACAGUCGGGGGAUGACGGUACCGGAAGAAUAAGCACCGGCUAACUACGUGCCAGCAGCCGCGGUAAUACGUAGGGUGCAAGCGUUAAUCGGAAUUACCGGGCGUAAAGCGUGCGCAGGCGGUUUGCUAAGACCGAUGUGAAAUCCCCGGGCUCAACCUGGGAACUGCAUUGGUGACUGGCAGGCUAGAGUAUGGCAGAGGGGGGUAGAAUUCCACGUGUAGCAGUGAAAUGCGUAGAGAUGUGGAGGAAUACCGAUGGCGAAGGCAGCCCCCUGGGCCAAUACUGACGCUCAUGCACGAAAGCGUGGGGAGCAAACAGGAUUAGAUACCCUGGUAGUCCACGCCCUAAACGAUGUCAACUAGUUGUUGGGGAUUCAUUUCCUUAGUAACGUAGCUAACGCGUGAAGUUGACCGCCUGGGGAGUACGGUCGCAAGAUUAAAACUUAAAGGAAUUGACGGGGUCAUAGCUGUUUCCU